RNAcentral lists this ribosomal RNA (331 nucleotides) under uncultured eukaryote. RNAcentral describes it as "partial 18S ribosomal RNA". It matches the Rfam family "Eukaryotic small subunit ribosomal RNA", at positions 1470 to 1796 of the family's 1831-position model. The record is from RNAcentral.
CCCUUAGAUGUUCUGGGCCGCACGCGCGCUACACUGUUCGACGCAGCGAGUCUUAACCUUGACCGAAAGGUUUGGGUAAUCUUCAGCAAAGUCGAACGUGAUGGGGAUCGAUCAUUGCAAUUAUUGAUCGUGAACGAGGAAUUCCUAGUAAGUGCAAGUCAUCAGCUUGCGCUGAUUACGUCCCUGCCCUUUGUACACACCGCCCGUCGCUACUACCGAUUGAAUGGUUUAGUGAGAUCUCUGGAUUGACACUGGCUAGGGGGCGACCCUUGGCCAGACUGUUGAGAAACUGCUCAAACUUGAUCAUUUAGAGGAAGUAAAAGUCGUAACA